RNAcentral lists this ribosomal RNA (491 nucleotides) under uncultured bacterium. RNAcentral describes it as "partial 16S ribosomal RNA". It matches the Rfam family "Bacterial small subunit ribosomal RNA", at positions 29 to 507 of the family's 1533-position model. The record is from RNAcentral.
AGUGAACGCUGGCGGUAGGCCUAACACAUGCAAGUCGAACGGCAGCACAGUAAAAGCUUGCUCUUACGGGUGGCGAGUGGCGGACGGGUGAGGAAUACAUCGGAAUCUACUUUUUCGUGGGGGAUAACGUAGGGAAACUUACGCUAAUACCGCAUACGACCUACGGGUGAAAGCAGGGGAUCUUCGGACCUUGCGCGAUUGAAUGAGCCGAUGUCGGAUUAGCUAGUUGGCGGGGUAAAGGCCCACCAAGGCGACGAUCCGUAGCUGGUCUGAGAGGAUGAUAGCCACACUGGAACUGAGACACGGUCCAGACUCCUACGGGAGGCAGCAGUGGGGAAUAUUGGACAAUGGGCGCAAGCCUGAUCCAGCCAUACCGCGUGGGUGAAGAAGGCCUUCGGGUUGUAAAGCCCUUUUGUUGGGAAAGAAAAGCAGCAGGUUAAUACCCCGCUGUUCUGACGGUACCCAAAGAAUAAGCACCGGCUAACCUCGUG